RNAcentral lists this non-coding RNA (219 nucleotides) under Shewanella violacea. RNAcentral describes it as "Lysine sequence". It matches the Rfam family "Lysine riboswitch aptamer". Rfam says of the family: Riboswitches are metabolite binding domains within certain messenger RNAs that serve as precision sensors for their corresponding targets. Lineage: Bacteria; Pseudomonadati; Pseudomonadota; Gammaproteobacteria; Alteromonadales; Shewanellaceae. The record is from RNAcentral. RNAcentral also lists the same sequence under 1 other name.
CUGAGAAGUAGAGGUGCAUUAAAAAUCAGUAGUGAUAGUCAGGGUGAUACCGCUUAUCUAUCAUGAAAGGGUUUGAUGCCGAAGUAGUAAUGCAUAUCACGGUUUACUACUGGGGCUGUAUCGAAUAGGUACAGCACUGCCAUAGUGUCUCUUAUCCGGAUGAUAAGAAGAUUUUAUACCUAUUAAUAAAUGGUAUUACUAUGGAGCGCUACUGAUAGG